CCAGAAGUAGCUUAGUGGUAAAGCAGCGAUGCGCAUCAUAAAACAGGGAGAGCAAGUCUGCGGUUCGAUUCCGUACUUCUGGAUUG
This 86-nucleotide transfer RNA is filed under the name Caudoviricetes sp. RNAcentral describes it as "tRNA-OTHER". It matches the Rfam family "tRNA". From Rfam's summary of the family: Transfer RNA (tRNA) molecules are approximately 80 nucleotides in length. Lineage: Duplodnaviria; Heunggongvirae; Uroviricota; Caudoviricetes. The record is from RNAcentral.